Molecule: long non-coding RNA, 4189 nt
Filed under: Brassica rapa (field mustard)
Lineage: Eukaryota; Viridiplantae; Streptophyta; Magnoliopsida; Brassicales; Brassicaceae
Description: long non-coding RNA (BRAP_LNC001778)
Source: RNAcentral
GACAAUUGGUCUACAUCUCAAAUUGAUCCAAAGACCAAAGAUUCCUAAAGCCACUUGAAACUAAAAAUGGCUCCACAAAAAUUCAUCAGAAAUGACAUGAUAAGUUUACCUCGGCUCGUAGAAGAGUAUCUCUCUAUGUUGAAGGAAACAUACGAAGGAACGGGAUUGCACCUAGCCACGCAACAAGGGGACGAGGUAUAUGCAAAGAAAAUAAUCGAGCUCUGCCCUUCCUUAGUCGGUUCCACCAAUUCCAAAGGUGACACUCCUCUUCAUGUUGCUGCUCGUUUGGGAUACACAAGCAUCUUUAUUGGGAUGUUAGAGUCCCUAAAAUUGCAUAACGCAUGCGAGCGAAAAACCAUAGAUGCAGAAAUGAUGAAUAAUGAUGGCUUAACACCUCUGCAUUGUGCGGCAAUGAAGGGUUCUGUUGAAAUCCUUGAGGAAUUUCUCAAUAGGGCUCCCUCUUCUUUCUACUCAGUCACAUUAGAAAAGAGAGAAACUGUGUUUCAUAUAGCUGCGAGACACAAGCAGAACGAAGCCUUCAUCUCAAUGGCAAAGAGUGACAACUUAGGCCAACUUCUCUACCAGCUUGACGUAGACGGCAACACUGUGCUUCACGUUGCCGCCUCCGUAGGCUCUAUUGCGGUAAAUUUUCUGCCUCCCUCUUCUUUCCUUUUUUUGUAUAUUGUGCCUAAUUAGACUCAAAAUGCAAAAUCUUAUAGGAAAUAUAUCUAAAACAUAGUUUUCUUUGUAUAAUAAUUUCAUUUAUCAACCUCAUCUAAAGAGCCAAAUUGCUUUCAGUUUUCCACCUUAAAUUUCACUUCUUUAAUACUACUUGGUAACUGCUUGAUUAUUUAAGGGAACUGCCGAAACACAAAAAUACAAAAGGGAAAAUGAUUGUUUAAUAAUAUAAAUAAGAAGGAAUACUAGCUAAAUGAUUUCAAAGUAAUACUUUCAUACAAAGCUAUAUACUCCAUAUGAUUUGAAAACUUAAAAUAUGAGGUUUUGUUGUUGGUUUCCUGAUUUGAUUAACAUAUUACAUUACAGCUGGUAAACUAUAUAAUGGUGGAGACAAACGUAAAAGUCACCACGAAGAACAAGAACGGUUUUGUAGCGGUUGACCUUCUCAACGAAGAGGAUAAAGAUUUCCUUAAGCUAUCUAACGCUCUGAUGUGCGGUCAACGCUCUUCAAGUCCUAGAGAGAUUGGAAACCAAACAAAAGCAGUGAUUCUUCAUCGUGCAGACGAUGACACGAUAAAGAAGCGCCAGAAGGAGAUUCUAAGAUUUCAAAGCAGUGAUACUCCAAACAAAAAAUUUGAGAUGCAAUUGGAGGCUUUGCAAAGCGCUAGGAAUACUCUCGCCAUUGUCGCGGUCUUGAUUGCAUCUGUUACUUUCACAUGCGGUUUAAACCCACCUGGUGGGGUCUAUCAAGAAGGAUUCUCCAUUGGGAAAUCAACCGCGGGGAAAACCAUAGCUUUCAUGAUCUUCUGGAUAAGCAAUAGCAUAGCGUUGUUUACAUCAGUGAGUAUGGUCAUUCUUCUCCUCAGCAUUAUACCUUACAGGGAGGACUCGCUUUUAAAGUUCUUGGUUAUAGCUCACUGGAUGAUGUGGGUGGCUGUAGCAGCCAUGGCAAGUGCUUAUGUCUCCGCGGCAUUGGUAACUUUACCUCAUUUUGGAGAAACCAAUUGGUUAAUAAUCUAUGCCACUGUUGCUAUUGCUAGCUUGACGCUAGGCGGUAUGUUUGUUUAUCUACGGUUUAAUCUGGCUAAAUGCAUGUUUAGGAAGGUUACGCUUCUUAAAUGCUUGUCUACUCCGCCAGUACGCAAGAAUGGAUACGUAGACAUGGCGGCCAAUAUCGAGAAAGGCUACUACUCUUACUGCUGAAUUUAUGUUUUUAAUAUAUAGGAAUCCAAGUUAUAUGCAUGUUUUUGUAAGUGGUUGACGUUUUUUUUUGUAAAUAGGUGUUUGACGUUUAUAAUUUCCAAUUGUUUAGAUUCGAUGACAUGUGAUAUGUUGUAAGAAAACAAAAAUGAUUACUCUUAUUGCUGAAUUUAUGUUUAAUAGGAAUCCAAGUUAUAUGCAUGUUUGUAUAAGUGAUUGACGUAUAUGAUCUUCCAGUGUUCAAUUUUGGAUGACAUAUGUUGUAAUUUGUAAAAAAAAAAAAGUUUUCACAUAAUACAUGUUAUUUGACCCCAAAACUGAACACAGAAAAAUAGUUUUGAGUUUUCAUGCAAGAUAUUAGAUUGGUAGCUGUACCUUAUCAAGCCGUAGAACUAGGCCCUAAAAGUUUCCAUAAAUAGCAUAAAUCGAUGCAUGCAAAACUUAUUGCAAGGAAAAAAAAGAUGAGGAUUUGGGUGGGGGCGAAUAGAAUAACUGACCAAAAAAUGGGUUGGUAUCGAUAUUAGGGAGGAAAUUAGUCCUCAAAAAGUAAAUUAUGAGGUUGAAGCUCCAAUGUAUUUGUUCCAAGACUUUGUUUAGAGGUAAAGCUAUGUUUUCUUGUAACCACCAAACCAAACAGCUCCUUCUCAUCUAUAAGUUAACUAACAUAUCUGUGCUGCCUUUUCUUUGACUUGUCUUUCUCUCUCCAACUUCCCUCCUUCAACAUAAAGCCAAAUUCUUUCCAAAUCUCCAAACUGAACCGACCUAUACCAAAACGUACUAAACAGAAUCCGGACUAUCGGAUAAUCCAACAACCAUAUGUUGAACUACCGCUUUACUUAACAACAUUCCAAUUGCUUGAUUCGACUACGUAAUCGAAUGGGUAUUUCUGAGUAAACCGGAAAACCCUGAAUAAACCGUAUUCUUUCAACCUGUAACAAACUUAGAAUAAACCGAAUUAGAUUGGUAUUAUUCUAUGCAAUUUUAUGAAAUAAUAUUUCAAAAUAGAUAAGCUUAAGCAUAUUAAUUGGAGCUUGAAGCAAUUGGAUAAAAAAGCAUUUGAACCUUAACUUUUGGACGCAACCCCCCCUCCCCACCACAACUUAUUCGCCUAUGGUUUUUAUAAUAUACUGACAUUCAAUCGUUACGGAGAUCCAAGGUUCAAAAAAAAUAUCAAUAUGUAAAAAUUCAAGAUUGCUUACACGAUCACAUGUUUCAUUAUUUUUCUUAGAAGUUAGAAUGGAAUUGAAUUUAUAAAACGAGAAGUAUCAAACAUUAUUCCCAUAUAUAUAACUAUGUAUUUUUCUAUGCAAUUUUAUGAAUAAUAUUUUAAAAUAUAUAAUUCAAACAUAUACAAAUACGAAUGAUAACUCUACCGUUGACAAUUACUUAAUUAAAUCUUAUACUAAUUCAAUUCUAUGUGUAAACAUAGAAUUCCGUGUCUACACUAUAACAUUUUAUUUCUAUUUGACCAAAUGGUUACUUUUUUUUUUCUGUCACAGACCAAAUGGUUACUUAAAUUUAGAAUAUUAUAAGACUAACCAAUGAAAUUUAAACCAUUUUACAAUCUCUAGCUAAGUGAAUCAUCAUAAUACUCAAACCCAUUAUAGGAUAGAGUUUCUUAUUCGUAGAUAUUCAGAGUGUGAACUGAGCACAUGUCAUAGAUAAGUGACAUUUGCUAUAAGCUAAUAUUUAGUUUAGACUUAAAGAGUAGUUGACAAAAACUACAACUUUGUUUUUAAGUUUUUUUUUCUUAACUAGUGGACCUUGAAUCUAGUGGACCCUAAAAGUGGAAGAAGUAAUUACAUUUCUACAUGUAUAUAUAUUUUUUAAAAAAAACUGAAAUGAAAACUUUAUGCAAGGAUGUCACGUAUAAACCGAACAAUGGUCAAAAUUUUCAUUCAAUAUAUAAAUUAUUAAAAAAUUUACGAAAAGAGUAUGGCUGACUUUAGAGAGCAGUAUAUAAGGGUAAGAGUAUGCAUCUAAUUAACUUAAAACAACAAAGACAAUUGGUCUACUUCUCAAAUUGAUCCAAAGACCAAAGAUUCCUAAAGCCACUUGAAACUAAAAAUGGCUCCACAAAAAUUCAUCAGAAAUGGCAUGACAAGUUUACCUCGGCUCGUAGAAGAGUAUCUCUCUAUGUUGAAGGAAACAUACGAAGGAACGGGAUUGCACCUAGCCACGCAACAAGGGGACGAGGUAUAUGCAAAGAAAAUAAUCGAGCUCUGCCCUUCCUUAGUCGGUUCCACCAAUUCCAAAGGUGACACUCCUCUUCAUGUUGCUGCUCGUUUGGGAUACACAAGCAUCUUUAUUG